Molecule: ribosomal RNA, 1767 nt
Filed under: marine sediment metagenome
Description: bacterial LSU rRNA
Rfam family: Bacterial large subunit ribosomal RNA
Source: RNAcentral
CGCGUGCCUUUGCAUAAUGAGUCAGCGAGUUAUCCUGUGCAGCGAGGUUAAGCCGCGAGGUGGAGCCGCAGCGAAAGCGAGUCUUAAUAGGGCGAAGGAUAUGCACACUCUUAAGUUGGUGGAAAGCGUGCUCAGAUUGAGUCCAGGUUUGGCUAAUCUGAUUGAGCAGGCCCGCAGGAAUAGCAGCGCUAUUUCGAGGAGCCUGGUCAUGAAGAGCAGACAAAGAUGGGCUGAAGAUGAGAUACGGGGACGCCGAUUUAAGUGUGUGCAUGUCCGUAAAGUUGUAUGGGGUAGACCCGAAACCGGGUGAUCUAUCCAUGGCCAGGGUGAAGUCUCGAGUAACACGAGUGGAGGCCCGAACCGAUAUAGGUUGAAAACUGUUCGGAUGAGCUGUGGAUAGGGGUGAAAGGCCAAUCAAACUCGGUGAUAGCUGGUUCUCUCCGAAAUAUAUUUAGGUAUAGCCUCGUAUGUUUACUGACGGAGGUAGAGCACUGAAUGGGCUAGGGGUCUCACCGGAUUACCAAACCUAAUCAAACUCCGAAUACCGUCAAGUUAUAGUACGGGAGUCAGACUACGGGAGAUAAGUUCCGUGGUCGAGAGGGAAACAACCCAGACCGCCAGCUAAGGUCCCAAAAUCUAUGCUAAGUGGAAAAGGAUGUGGAAUUGCUCAGACAACCAGGAGGUUGGCUUAGAAGCAGCCACCCUUUAAAGAAAGCGUAACAGCUCACUGGUCUAGUGAUUCUGCGCCGAAAAUGUAACGGGGCUAAGCAUAGUACCGAAGCUGCGGAUACGAAAUUUAUUUAUAAUGGUAGGAGAGCAUUGUGGCCGCCUGAGAAGGUACACCGUAAGGAGUGCUGGAGGUUCCACAAGAGCUUAUGUUGACAUGAGUAGCGAAAAACAAGGUGAGAAACCUUGUCGCCGAAAGCCUAAGGUUUCCUGUAGUCAAGUUAAUCUGCUCAGGGUUAGUCGGCUCCUAAGGCGAGGCCGAGAGGCGUAGUCGAUGGGAAACAGGUUAAUAUUCCUGUACCACUUUCAUAAUGUUAUGGUAAGGGGGGACGGAGAAGGUAAGGCCAUCCGGGCGUUGGUUGUCCCGGUUUAAGCGUGUAGGUGGAGGACUUAGGCAAAUCCGGGUCCUUAUUCAACACUGAGGCGUGAUGACGAUGUCUUUUAGACAACAAAGUGGUUGGUUCCAUGCUUCCAGGAAAAUCCUCGUAUCUAGUUAUGAAUGUGACCGUACCGCAAACCGACACAGGUAGGCAGGUAGAGAAUACCAAGGCGCUUGAGAGAACUCUGGUUAAGGAACUCGGCAAAAUAGCACCGUAACUUCGGGAGAAGGUGUGCCCGCAUGGUGAAGUUAUUUACUGACUGAGCCAAGUGAGGUUGCAGUGAAAUGGGGGGAGCGACUGUUUACUAAAAACAUAGGACUCUGCGAAGUCGAAAGACGACGUAUAGGGUCUGACGCCUGCCCGGUGCCGGAAGGUUAAGGGGACGUGUUAGCGUAAGCGAAGCACUGAACUGAAGCCCCGGUAAACGGCGGCCGUAACUAUAACGGUCCUAAGGUAGCGAAAUUCCUUGUCGGGUAAGUUCCGACCUGCACGAAUGGGUAAACCAUGGCCACGCUGUCUCCACCCGAGACUCAGUGAAAUUGAAAUCGCAGUGAAGAUGCUGUGUACCCGCGGCUAGACGGAAAGACCCCGUGAACCUUUACUACAGCUUGGCACUGAACAUUGAACCUACAUGUGUAGGAUAGGUGGGAGACUUUGAAGC